GACAUUUUUGUUCUUCCUCCUCUUCCUCAUCCUCCUCCUCCUCCUCUUCCUCCUCCUCAGACGGUGUCGGAGGCCUUCAGAGAAGCGAACAUCGCCGCCUCAACUGGGAAAGCAAUCAACUUUUAAUCCCGUUGUCUUCCCUUCAGUGAAUAAAAGGCAGAGAAGAAGACUGCAAGCUAGAGCUGCUACCAUUUCAUUACUCAAUUCAUCUGUUGUUUUUCAAGCAAAAUGCUGUUUUCUCAACCCUCUUAUUUCCUACUUUUCUCUUACGUCACAUUAAAGAGACUAUAUUUAGGCAUUUCAAGGCCACAGUUGGGACUUUUAUUAAACUAUUUUCUGACAUUUUAUCCAUACAAUAAGCAGGUUAAUCGAUUAAUAUAA
Notothenia coriiceps (black rockcod) is the source of this 381-nucleotide long non-coding RNA. RefSeq lists it as uncharacterized. The transcript is spliced from 2 exons. Lineage: Eukaryota; Metazoa; Chordata; Actinopteri; Perciformes; Nototheniidae. The record is from RefSeq and is a predicted model, not a curated record.